UUAUUUUUAUAUUUUUAUAUUUUAAUUUAUAUUAUUAUAUAAAAAUGUAUGUCUAUCAAUUAUAAAACAUAUAUCAAUGUUAAACUAUUAUGUACUUAAUAUAAGUGUUCGUUUAUUUCAACAAUAAAUUGUUUGAAAACUUUUUAAUAUUUUAAAAAAAUUAAAAUUAUAUGAUAUUUUAUAAUUAAUCUAUUUAUUUUUUAUAGAAAUGCGGGUCAUGGGUACGGGUAUGGGUACUUACAU
This 243-nucleotide long non-coding RNA is filed under the name Lathyrus oleraceus (garden pea). RNAcentral describes it as "Pisum sativum (pea) long non-coding RNA (PSAT_LNC028328)". Lineage: Eukaryota; Viridiplantae; Streptophyta; Magnoliopsida; Fabales; Fabaceae. The record is from RNAcentral.